GCGUGGGUGAAGAAGGCCUUCGGGUUGUAAAGCCCUUUUGGCGGGGAAGAUGAUGACGGUACCCGCAGAAGAAGCUCCGGCUAACUCCGUGCCAGCAGCCGCGGUAAUACGGAGGGGGCUAGCGUUGUUCGGAAUUACUGGGCGUAAAGAGCACGUAGGCGGUGCGUCAAGUCAGAGGUGAAAGUCCUGGGCUCAACCUGGGGACUGCCUUUGAGACUGGCGCACUGGAGUCCGGGAGGGGGUGGCGGAAUUCCCAGUGUAGAGGUGAAAUUCGU
RNAcentral lists this ribosomal RNA (275 nucleotides) under uncultured bacterium. RNAcentral's name for it is "partial 16S ribosomal RNA". It matches the Rfam family "Bacterial small subunit ribosomal RNA", at positions 399 to 691 of the family's 1533-position model. The record is from RNAcentral.